Molecule: non-coding RNA, 1186 nt
Organism: Chrysemys picta bellii (western painted turtle)
Lineage: Eukaryota; Metazoa; Chordata; Testudines; Emydidae
Source: RefSeq, a predicted model, not a curated record
GGUGGGUGGUUCUAUUGUGUAUAGACUAGAGUACGUUAUUUCAAUCCAACGUGGGCAUCCGGAGAAGUUGCUCUCUCUUGGCUCUGCCCGUGUGGCGUACGGGAGCGUAGGCUUUCGAGCUCCAUGACGUAUAGUCCCAUUCCACGACGUUGGAGAAUAAGCUUGGGCCUCUGGUCUGCAGCCUGCAUAUUCCUACUGCUUCUCUGAGUCUUCGGACUGUGACUGAGGAGAUAAACCAUGCAGGAGACAUUGCAUUACCCAGAUGGCUUCUUCACUCUGGGAAGCCAUGUUCUGUAACCACAUCAAAUUCCAUUAGGCAGACUGAGCAGGGAUUCACUUAGUUGUUCUAACAUGUUGUUUGCUUGUUCUAUUUCAGCAGCUUUGCAAGCAGCGCACGCCUGCCCACAAGCUUCAGAUGCUAUGUUGCAUCAGUUGAAAAGGUAAAAUGAAGAAGCCGCUGGAUAACAGGGUUCACUCUUUCAGGUUCCAUAUUUGAGUUCUCUUUUGGAUCCAUUUUCCAACAGGAUCCCUGCAGUUCCUCUUCACAUUCCUGCCCGGGUCUCCUAUUCUUUUGACUGGAUAGUAUCUUAGUAGUAUAUUUUAUUCCCUUUCGUUGAUGUUUAGUUAUUCUAAUGACUUGGUAUGCUAACUCCUAAACACCAGGAUGUGAUCUAAUGGUUAAAUUAUAGAAGAAAAGUCCGUGAAAAGGUUUAACACGGGUACGCAAAGGAAAAAAUGUAGAUCUGGUCAUAUGUUUUGCAUGGAUAGAAGAGUUCUGGUUUUACUUCUACUCCUUGAUAGGCUACCUGGAGACUAUACAAAGCACUAACAAAUGGAGUAGGGCUGCAUUUACUUUGGCAAAAAUGGGAUUCAUAAUUCACCACAGGGUGGAUUAAAAUGAUUUAUUUAUUUAUUUUAUUUCAAUUGUAAUUUCUCAAUCUGUUAAAUGAAAUCUGAGUUUAAUACAAAAUAUGUUACGGCCUAAAUUUAAAAUAAUCUCAAACAUUUUAAUAAAUAUACUGAAUCCAUAAGUCUUUAUCAAAAGUUUUAAAGGCUGCUUUCCUAUGUAAAGAAAGGAACGGGAAAAUCUUGUUUCUGACAUCAAGCUUUAUAGAUUGGCACAAUCUAUAAAGGCACAAUAGGUCGUGCACUGUAUUAAGGGCUUGUUUUUUAAUAAAAAUAAAAU